AUAAGGGGGUAGAGCACUGAAUGGGCUAGGGCAUACACCAAUGUACCAAACCCUAUCAAACUCCGAAUACCUUAUAUGUAAUCAUAGCAGUCAGGCGGCGAGUGAUAAAAUCCGUCGUCAAGAGGGAAACAACCCAGACUAACAGCUAAGGUCCCCAAAUCUUACUUAAGUGGAAAACGAUGUGAAGUUACUUAAACAACCAGGAGGUUGGCUUAGAAGCAGCCAUCCUUUAAAGAAAGCGUAAUAGCUCACUGGUCUAGUGAUUUUGCGCGGAAAAUAUAACGGGGCUAAAGUAAGUACCGAAGCUUUAGACUUGCACACAACUUAGAUGAUUUAAAUUUAAAAUAUGAGAAACUAAAUUUAUUUUUAUUUAUUUUUGCUUAUCUUUAUUCAUUUUUAUAGAGUAAAGAUAAAAACAAAAACUUCGUAAAAAUAAUAAAAUAUAGUAAAAAACAAUAAAAAUAUUCUUAGAUUAAAAGAGUUAAGUCGUUUAAGUUGUGUGCAAUGUGGUAGGAGAGCGUUCUAUUUGCGUCGAAGGUAUACCGACAAGGAGUGCUGGAGCGAAUAGAAGUGAGCAUGCAGGCAUGAGUAGCGAUAAUUA
RNAcentral lists this ribosomal RNA (601 nucleotides) under Campylobacter upsaliensis. RNAcentral describes it as "partial 23S ribosomal RNA". It matches the Rfam family "Bacterial large subunit ribosomal RNA", at positions 894 to 1318 of the family's 2925-position model. Lineage: Bacteria; Pseudomonadati; Campylobacterota; Epsilonproteobacteria; Campylobacterales; Campylobacteraceae. The record is from RNAcentral.